RNAcentral lists this ribosomal RNA (1443 nucleotides) under uncultured fungus. Its description in RNAcentral is "eukaryotic LSU rRNA". The stretch from base 820 to 1443 matches the Rfam family "Eukaryotic large subunit ribosomal RNA", at positions 1 to 649 of the family's 3401-position model. Lineage: Eukaryota; Fungi. The record is from RNAcentral.
GUCGUAACAAGGUUUUGCUAAGCAACAGUCCUUCUGUAGCAGAGCUUAACGGAGACCUUGCACCCGAGAGGGGGGAGGCGACUAUAAACAAGCUUCCAGCGCAAGUCAGCUUAGCUGGCAACACAAUCGAAUUGCGGGGACGCUUUAAAGCCCACCGGUACCAACGGCCCCUCCAGGGGCCGGGCGAGCACAGCUCGAGGUCACAACCCGGUGGGAUGGAACAAUAAGCAAUCCGCAGCGGCGUGAGCCGUCCACAGACUAAGUGGUUGUGGGUAGGAGAACCCUAUCUAAGAUAUAGUCGGGCCCGAGGAGAGAUCCCCGGGGCUUCUGCGUCCGUAGGUGAACCUGCGGAAGGAUCAUUAAUAAGGAUACCGGGCAACCGGUAACCCCACCCGUGUCUAUCUACUCUUGUUGCUUUGGCAGGCCGUGGUCUCCACGGCGGGCUCUGCCCGCUAGUGCCUGCCAGAGGACCAAACUCUGAAUAUUAGUGAUGUCUGAGUACUAUAUAAUAGUUAAAACUUUCAACAACGGAUCUCUUGGUUCUGGCAUCGAUGAAGAACGUAGCGAAAUGCGAUAAGUAAUGUGAAUUGCAGAAUUCAGUGAAUCAUCGAAUCUUUGAACGCACAUUGCGCCCGGNGGNAUUCCGCCGGGCAUGCCUGUUCGAGCGNCGUNNUAANCACUCAAGCCUGGNUUGGUAUUGGGGUACGCGGUCCCGCGGCCCCUAAAAUCAGUGGCGGUGCCGGUUGGCUCUAAGCGUAGUAAUACUCCUCGCUAUAGNCCCUUUCCGGUUCCCUGCCAGAACCCCCUAUUUUUNCAGGUUGANNUCGGAUCAGGUAGGGAUACCCGCUGAACUUAAGCAUAUCAAUAAGCGGAGGAAAAGAAACCAACAGGGAUUACCUCAGUAACGGCGAGUGAAGCGGUAAUAGCUCAAAUUNGAAAGCUGCCAACAGGCCGCGUUGUAAUUUGUAGAAGAUGCUUUGGGGAUCGGCCUGGUCUAAGUUCCUUGGAACAGGACGUCAUGGAGGGUGAGAAUCCCGUACGUGACCGGUGCCGGCACCCGUGUAAAGCUCUUUCGACGAGUCGAGUUGUUUGGGAAUGCAGCUCAAAAUGGGUGGUAAAUUUCAUCUAAAGCUAAAUAUUGGCCAGAGACCGAUAGCGCACAAGUAGAGUGAUCGAAAGAUGAAAAGCACUUUGGAAAGAGAGUUAAACAGUACGUGAAAUUGUUGAAAGGGAAGCGCUUGCAACCAGACUUGCGGGCGGUCGAUCAUCCGAGGUUCUCCCCGGUGCACUCGAUCGUUCUCAGGCCAGCAUCGGUUUUGGUGGUGGGAUAAAGGCGUUGGGAAUGUGGCUCUUCGGAGUGUUAUAGCCCAGCGUGCAAUGCCGCCUACCGGGACCGAGGACCGCGCUUCGGCUAGGAUGCUGGCGUAAUGGUUGUAAGCGACC